CCUACGGGAGGCAGCAGUAGGGAAUGUUGCGCAAUGGGCGAAAGCCUGACGCAGCAACGCCGCGUGAAGGAUUAAGCCCUUCGGGGUGGAAAGUUCUGUCAGUAGGGACGAAACUUGACGGUACCUACAGAGGAAGCACCGGCUAACUCCGUGCCAGCAGCCGCGGUAAUACGGAGGGUGCAAGCGUGGUCCGGAAUCAUUGGGCGUAAAGAGUUCGUAGGUGGCAUAUUAAGUCUGGUGUUAAAUGCAGAAGCUCAACUUCUGUUCGGCACUGGAUACUGGUAAGCUUGAGUGCGGUAGAGGUAACGGGAAUUCCUGGUGUAGCGGUGAAAUGCGUAGAUAUCAGGAGGAACAUCGGUGGCGUACGCGCUUUACUGGGCCGUAAUUGACACUGAGGAACGAAAGCCGGGGUAGCAAAUGGGAUUAGAUACCCGAGUAGUC
Molecule: ribosomal RNA, 441 nt
Filed under: uncultured bacterium
Lineage: Bacteria
Description: partial 16S ribosomal RNA
Rfam family: Bacterial small subunit ribosomal RNA
Source: RNAcentral